GAAGUCUUACAAUCUUCGAUCUUGUUAACAAAUGCAUUCUUGCAAUCUUCGAUCUUGUUAACAAAUGCAUAAUCUUAGCAUGUAUUUUGUUGAUAAGGAUAAAAUAGGAUUAAAGAAAAUUAUAUAAAGGUAUAGUUGAAAAAGAAAAAUGAAAACCAUGGCACACCACCAAUUUGAUGGUUCAAUAAAUUGCUUCAUUCCAUGGUUAUCAUACCAUAGAAUAGUAACAUACCAUACCACCAUUUUUAGAAAACCAUGGAAACAAACAUGGUUCCCAUGAUAACCAUAUCAUACCGGGAAACCACCAUCCAAACAGGCUGUUAAUCCCCAAAUUUCUCAUUUUCAUUUGCAUUAUAAUUGUAUUAUUACCUCAGAUCUGGAAAAAAAAUUGCUCUUAAGCAUAUCUCUUAGCAUUUCUGAUUUGAGAAUGAGCAUGUUGAUGCUGUAACAAAAGGAGAACCUGCUGAGGUGUUGUCUGGAUAUGGUUAUAAGUAAGCUCUCACUUGUUCUUAAAUACUCUGUUUCCUGGGAGGAACUAUAGAGAAGGCAAGGUCAAAUACACAUGUCUCUGAAGAUGCAGACUACUUGCACUUGAACAGAAAGACACUAUGAAGCUCUUCAGGAAAGGAUGGUAGUUGCAGAUGCUGAAUAUGUAGUUGGAUCACAGUUGCUACUCUGAUUCUGCAGCUUUCUCUUGAUUGUUCGUUGCUCAUUCGAAGUAGUCCUGUAUCUGAGCCCUCUUCUUCUGGAAGUACGGAAGAGGCAAGGCCAAAUGGGAACAAAGAGCGUGCAGGUGUGCUCAAGUCUUCUGGAAGUAUGGAAGAGGUAAGGCCAAAUGGGAACGAAGAACGUGCAGCUGCGGUCGUGUCUUCUAGAAGUACGGAAAAGGUAAGGCAAAGUGCGAUAAAAGAACGUGCAGCUGAGCUUGCUUCUUCUGGAAAUAAAGUAGAGGUGAUAUACCAUACCACAGCAGAGUAAAUCUGGAGCUGGAGGCUACCAUAAAGUUCUAAUGUAACGACAACGCUAAGAAGUAUUGGCGGACAUAAGCAAUUUGGUGCUAGCAAUGUGUUGUUACUGAAUGAUGAAUUUCGUCUAACGCCUCAUGUCAUGCCUUUGGGGUAAUAUCUGCUGCACUUCUGUACAUUAAGGAUGAUUUUCCUGAAGUCAGUCAAAGCAGUUUCCUACAGUCACAUGAAUAACCAACUUCAUUUGGAGGUCCAUCGUAGAUUCUGGACGUAACCAUUAAAUAAAAAGUGAUCGCAACAACAACUUUUUAAAGCUGGUCCAUCUUUAUCAUAUGAAUUGUUGGAAUGAUAGAAAAUUAAUGGAUGGUAUUAUCUUUUAAAAUGCAAGCAUGUAUUUGAACUGUGUUCAUCACUGGCUGUGUUUUGCCUAAAAAUCUGGAGCUAAUUAGCAUCUUAGCUGUUUCAGUUGGUCUUUUAUCAUCGCAAAUAAUAUGGUGUUUGUUGGAAAUGUAAUUUAAUUAGUUGGUGUGAUACAUGUAGAACAUUUUGGCCCAAGAAUACUUAUAACAAGAUUCAUUUUUGCCAGUUUAUCAGCUGUGAUAUAAGGUUAGUUUACAUGCAAUUUUAUUUGUCUGAUUUGUAGAAACAACUUCAAUAUAUUUUUCGUGGGUAUACUGGAUUUGUACGUGGUGUUGCUGUUGCUUCUGUUAUGUUUGGUAUGAUAUACGUCUUUCUUUGCCCUCGCUCAAAUCUUUCUUCUGCCACCACCCAUCCCUCAAAGGCCCCAAGAUAUCCCAAUUGUCUUAUUAAUUAUCUCUGACUGAAAUGCUUCAAUGUUCCAGCAAAACUGUCCAUCCCAGUGGCAUGUUGCAAUGCUCUUCAUCCAAAUACCGUGACUAUGUCCUAUGUCUUUUGUUUGUUUAUCUUAGCUUUAACUAAUAGGUUCCGCAUUCCACUAGAUUCAUGUAACAACCCUAGGCAAAUCCCACAAUCGACAAACACGGAAGAGAUGCUAGGUAUAUAAGAAAGCAAGCGUUAGAUUCUAAUGAUGUGUUUUAAAUCCGUGCAGGCCGAGGCCCAAAACAGACAAUAUCAUUAAGGGGCUGACUGUGAUAGCUCAUGUUUCUACUGUUGUUUAGUGACCGAGAAUGAUCAACUUUAAAAUGAUUUCUGUUGCUCUCAAGAAGAAGAAUGUUUAAUGUAUGUGAAGAAAAAAAAAUUAAUGUAUGCCUUAAAGAAAAAAUAGAAGAAUGUAUGCUACUGUUUGAGGUGAAAUAGUCAUGAGGUAGUGGUAACGUCUGAUUCUUUUAGCUCACCAGAUUUAGGCAGAUAUUUUAUAAUUUGUCCUUUAAUACAUUAAUUACGAUACUGAGAAGCUGGAGAUUAUUUACAUCUGACACUUACUUGUACAUUGAGAUACAAAUCUCAAAAUACUAUAUUCCUAAGUAGUAUGGACUCAUUACUUCCGAGAUGCCAAACCCGUAUGGGAUUCUCCAAAAAAAGCACUACUUCAAGAGAAUCCGAUAUGCACCCGCUAAUAUUUUUAAAGAGUCCAAGAAAUAUAUCUUAUACAGAUGGAUUUGUAUAACAAUCUUAUUUUUAUAUUUCUGUAGUAUAGGAUUAUUUAGCUGUAUGACUGAUGAAUAGGAAAAUUGUUGUCUGUGUAACUGAUGAAUAGGAAAAUUGUUGUUUGAUGUAUUUACUGUGAAAGCUGGUUGUACUUUUAAGUUUGUUCAAUUCACAAGGAUAGCGUUAUUGAGGUGUGUGCUUUAGAAGUUCCAUUAGAAAUUGACUAAAGAAAUUUCCUGCAAGUCUACGUUAAUUUUAAUUUACCGUCCACUCAUGCUAUACUUAUGCUAUAUCUACUUGUUGUUAAUAGAUCGAUAAGGAUAUUGUUCCGAAAGAUAACUCUUCUAUAGAGUUCAUUAAUAUCUGAGCUCAUUAGUUUACCCCGAUCUAUCUGAAUGAUCGGUACGCAAAGGUAAUGUCCAGUAUGUUUCUGAUUCAGCUUUCUCCUUGUCCUCUUGUAAUGGAACAUAAAUUGAUGGAUUUUUCUUUGUGGUUGGGGUGGAAUGCCUGAUGGAUAUAUAGAUUAUUGCAGAUAGAGGUGAGUGAAUUUCUAAGACAAUGUCUUUGUUAUCAUUUCCAUUUCGUUCUUUUCAUUUGCUGUGGGAGCAACUGAUUCAUUUGGUAGGGUGACUCAAAGGGAACGGCAAAGGCUGCUGAUGGAUCUUCUAAAAGAGAUGAGAUGCAACCUGGUCCGAACUCACAGCUUGCACAUCAAGGCUCAUUCUCACAAGAAUGAAUUAUGGUAACUCUCAGAUCACACACUUUGCUCGAAGGACUACUAGCUUGCGAGUAUACUCUGGUCAGAUCCUCUUAACGCACAAAAUGUAAGCGAAAGUGCUGAAGUAGUCGCGAAGCUGCUUGGAUUUUGGAAUUAGUGGAACAUGUUUCAGCUCAAUUUUGUUUCCGCCGGUGACAAAAAGACAUGGCUAGGUUGAAAUCUGAAAUCAAACUUAUUACAUUUGUAGUUCCAAAUAGCACGCUAAUAUUUUCAUCGAUGAAAAUGAAUCUGAACGUAGAUUUUGUAUCAUAUUUGCCUGUACAGCUACUUGAUAAUAGUCCAUGGGGGUAAAUUCAGCAUUUUUACUUUUAGGGGACACACA
Long non-coding RNA from Capsicum annuum, 3634 nucleotides. RefSeq lists it as uncharacterized. The record is from RefSeq and is a predicted model, not a curated record. The transcript is spliced from 9 exons. Lineage: Eukaryota; Viridiplantae; Streptophyta; Magnoliopsida; Solanales; Solanaceae.